UUGUGAUUGGUGGGUUCUGCCGCGGCCGGGAAGUUCGAACAGAAGUCUGGGGAAGAGCCGGCGAAGAGCAAAGAGAUAAUACAGUACUCCCAGCUAUAGCAAGCGGCAGUUAUGGAGCAUGCGCAGCAGCAGGGGCGGCCGCAGGUCGCCGUUCAAUAAUACUCAAGGGAUUUGUACAGCCCUGUAGGAGACACCUCCAGAGAAAGUAACAGCUCUCAAUUGAUUAGCUGAGAAGCCUCAGGGGCUGGAUCCUGACAUGAACCAGACACCUCCAGAAUUCUAUCCCAAGCAAAAGAUUAUUUCAAGGCCAGAACUCACUCCCUGCUGGAGACUGACUACAAGAUCCACUGAGAUUGAUGUGUAACCUGAUUGGGCCCACAGUGAUGCUAGCCCCUUCACCAGAUGGAACAAUAAUUCCAGACAAGCCAUCAGAGCAGAGAGCAGAGAAGAGGAGAAGCAGCUGGAUGUCAGAGACUGCAGUUUGACGUUGGAGAAAAGCAGCUUGACUUCAGAGGGACAGCUUGACAGCAUGGAUUCAGAGAGGAGAAGAUCACCUUCCUGCUCCGUCCCCUUUCCAGCUCCCUUUCCCACUGAGAGCCACUUACACAGGCAAUAAAAUCCUCUGCAUUCACCACCCUUCAAUUCAUUCAUGCAACCUGAUUUUUUUCUGGAUGCUGAACAUGAGCUCAGGUACCAUGGGUGCAGAUGCAAAAGGCUGUCACACUGACCCUGUGCCCUUGCUGGCAGAAAGCAGCUGCCUCAUGCAAAAAGGCAGAGGGCCACUGAGCUGUCAA
This 794-nucleotide long non-coding RNA is filed under the name Homo sapiens (human). RNAcentral describes it as "HSALNT0308242". Lineage: Eukaryota; Metazoa; Chordata; Mammalia; Primates; Hominidae. The record is from RNAcentral.